RNAcentral lists this ribosomal RNA (253 nucleotides) under uncultured bacterium. Its description in RNAcentral is "partial 16S ribosomal RNA". It matches the Rfam family "Bacterial small subunit ribosomal RNA", at positions 524 to 776 of the family's 1533-position model. The record is from RNAcentral.
UACAGAGGUCUCAAGCGUUGUUCGGAUUCAUUGGGCGUAAAGGGUGCGUAGGCGGCGCGGUAAGUCGGGUGUGAAAUCUCGGGGCUUAACUCCGAAACUGCAUUCGAUACUGCCGUGCUUGAGGACUGGAGAGGAGACUGGAAUUUACGGUGUAGCGGUGAAAUGCGUAGACAUCGUAAGGAAGACCAGUGGCGAAGGCGGGUCUCUGGACAGUUCCUGACGCUGAGGCACGAAGGUCAGGGGAGCAAACGGG